Long non-coding RNA from Mustela erminea (ermine), 1230 nucleotides. RefSeq lists it as uncharacterized. Lineage: Eukaryota; Metazoa; Chordata; Mammalia; Carnivora; Mustelidae. The record is from RefSeq and is a predicted model, not a curated record. The transcript is spliced from 3 exons.
GUGGGCGGAAGAAGUUGCUGCUUCGUUUUCGUUUCCUCGUGAGACACCGUAGCUUGGUGUUGGAGUUUUCGAUUUGCCAUUACGUGAGCGCGCGAGGCCUGUGGAAGGGGGCGGGCCAAACUUGCUCCGUCCCUUUGUUCCAUGACGUGAUUCCUGAAAAUGAUUAAGGUGUUAGCCGAGGUAGUGCUGUUUGGAGUGGCGAGGGCUGCCCGCUCCGAGAAAGCCCAGUUGGUAGUUGCGAAGGGGUUUGUUUGUGCUUGGCAGGCAGCGGGCGCUCAACAAGUGUGUGUUGAAUAAAUGGAUUUUUUUCCUUAUGACACAAUUAAGUGAGCUGUGACUCCACCCCAGGUCUGGUUAGGUAAUUUCCUUUUUCCACAAUACAUAGUCACCGCAAGUCUGUCGUCUUCACGUUGUAAACAUUUUCGUAAGCUUGAUUUUCACACUUUUAAACGUCGUGUUAGUGGCACCGUGUGAACGAGUUGAGGCUUUUUAGCCUUCGGGUCUGCAAGGGUAUAUAUUCACGCCACAGAUGAAUGGCACUUAACAUUUUUCACACUAAAAAUCAUACAGCACAUUUUUAUCACUCACGGAGGAAAAAAAGACUAAAUACACAAAUGACUCCCUCAAACUUCUGCCCUCUGCAGAAUUAGACACCUUACCCAAUCAACGCCAUAUACUCUUAGAGCACCAAAUAGCUACCAUUUAUCUAGUUCCUGUUGUACGUCUGGGACUGUGCUCCUUAGUCCAGGGAAAGAAUUGUGUUUAAUUCUCCCAGCCUAUCUAGGGUACAGAUACCGUUCUCCAGUUCUGUGCAGUUUCAAAGCCCACAGAGACCUGAGGACAUGAGGCUGCUGCUAAGUUAAUGACAGCUCUUCUCAGAAAUGUCUUCUGUGCUGCUUCAGAGCUGGAGCUGAGGACUUGUUGAUUACCUCCCAUUUACCAGGAUUACAGCAAAUUAAAUUUAACUGUGACUGGCAUGCGAACUAUCUGAUGUCGGUUGGACAUGGAUGAGGAAUAUUGCUAUAUAAACCACAGACCUCACAGCAACAGUUAUGAAUGAUCUAAGGCCCAGAAUAAAGGGUCCCCAGGGAGAAGAAAUUCCUAGCCAACUGCAACAUCAUAAGAUGCACAACAAGUAAGAGAACAAGUAGGAAGACAGGAGUACCAGUUUCUUAAAUCUUAGACAAGAUCAUUAGCUAAUUUCUUAUAGAAGACAGAUUUUGAAGACAC